GAUGAACGCUGGCGGCGUGCUUAACACAUGCAAGUCGAACGAUGAAGCCCAGCUUGCUGGGUGGAUUAGUGGCGAACGGGUGAGUAACACGUGAGUAACCUGCCCUUAACUCUGGGAUAAGCCUGGGAAACUGGGUCUAAUACCGGAUAGGAGCGCCUACCGCAUGGUGGGUGUUGGAAAGAUUUAUCGGUUUUGGAUGGACUCGCGGCCUAUCAGCUUGUUGGUGAGGUAAUGGCUCACCAAGGCGACGACGGGUAGCCGGCCUGAGAGGGUGACCGGCCACACUGGGACUGAGACACGGCCCAGACUCCUACGGGAGGCAGCAGUGGGGAAUAUUGCACAAUGGGCGAAAGCCUGAUGCAGCGACGCCGCGUGAGGGAUGACGGCCUUCGGGUUGUAAACCUCUUUCAGUAGGGAAGAAGCGAAGGUGACGGUACCUGCAGAAGAAGCACCGGCUAACUACGUG
RNAcentral lists this ribosomal RNA (466 nucleotides) under uncultured bacterium. Its description in RNAcentral is "partial 16S ribosomal RNA". It matches the Rfam family "Bacterial small subunit ribosomal RNA", at positions 28 to 507 of the family's 1533-position model. The record is from RNAcentral.